Molecule: ribosomal RNA, 228 nt
Filed under: uncultured bacterium
Lineage: Bacteria
Description: partial 16S ribosomal RNA
Rfam family: Bacterial small subunit ribosomal RNA
Source: RNAcentral
UACGAACUGCGCAAACGUUAUUCGGAAUCACUGGGCUUACAGGGUGCGUAGGCGGCGGAGAAAGUAGGGUGUGAAAUGCCUUGGCUCAACCAAGGCACAGCGCUCUAAACUACUUCGCUCGAGUGAGUCAGGGGUACGCGGAACUUCCGGUGGGAGCGGUGAAAUGUGUUGAUAUCGGAAGGAACACCGGUGGCGAAAGACGGGCGUGACUGGGGCUUAAACGUGACG